GGACCCGCACAAGCGGUGGAGUAUGUGGUUUAAUUCGAUGCAACGCGAAGAACCUUACCAGGGUUUGACAUCCUGCGAAUCUCUUGGAAACAGGAGAGUGCCUUCGGGAACGCAGUGACAGGUGGUGCAUGGCUGUCGUCAGCUCGUGUCGUGAGAUGUUGGGUUAAGUCCCGCAACGAGCGCAACCCCAGUCUUUAGUUGCCAGCAUUUAGUUGGGCACUCUAGAGAGACUGCCGUGAUAAACCGGAGGAAGGUGUGGAUGACGUCAAGUCAUCAUGCCCCUUACAUCUGGGCUACACACGUACUACAAUGCUACGGACAAAGGGCAGCAAGUUCGCGAGGACAAGCAAAUCCAAUCAAAACGUGGCUC
Molecule: ribosomal RNA, 370 nt
Filed under: uncultured bacterium
Lineage: Bacteria
Description: bacterial SSU rRNA
Rfam family: Bacterial small subunit ribosomal RNA
Source: RNAcentral